UCAAAUUGUCAAUAACUAUCACUAUUAAUUUUCCCCCAAAUUUACAUACACGACAACAGUCUUGUUUUGUUUUACGUUUUAGAUAUUAGAACCUCAUUAUUGUUUUUUGGUCGCAGAGGUAAAAUUUAAGAAAAAAAAAAAAAAAAGGACCACACUUGCUUGGCUACGAGUCUAGUCGUUUCCCUACGGACUAAUCAGCAACGACUAUAGCCCCACUCACGGACUCACUCACACUUUCACUAGUGGCUCAAGACGCUAAUUCCUACGCGCACU
This 273-nucleotide long non-coding RNA is filed under the name Brassica napus (rape). Its description in RNAcentral is "long non-coding RNA (BNAP_LNC006013)". The record is from RNAcentral. Lineage: Eukaryota; Viridiplantae; Streptophyta; Magnoliopsida; Brassicales; Brassicaceae.